This 355-nucleotide ribosomal RNA is filed under the name uncultured bacterium. RNAcentral's name for it is "partial 16S ribosomal RNA". It matches the Rfam family "Bacterial small subunit ribosomal RNA", at positions 338 to 690 of the family's 1533-position model. The record is from RNAcentral.
CCUACGGGGGGCUGCAGUGAGGAAUAUUGGUCAAUGGGCGGGAGCCUGAACCAGCCAAGUCGCGUGAGGGAAGACGGUCCUAUGGAUUGUAAACCUCUGUAGGCGGGGAGCAAGGCCGGGCACGCGUGCCCGGAGGGAGAGUACCCGCAGAAGAAGAAGCGGCUAACUCCGUGCCAGCAGCCGCGGUAAUACGGAGGAUGCGAGAGUUCUCCGGAUUUAGUGGGUUAAAAGGGGGCGUAGGCGGAUUUUGAAGUCAGGGGUAACAUGUGCGGGCUCAACCCGGGCCGGCCGUUGAAACUGGGGAUCUUGAGUGGGCGAGAAGUAUGCGGACUGCGUGUUGUAGCGGUGCAAUGCA